UACGGAAGGCAGCAGUGGGGAAUAUUGCACAAUGGGCGCAAGCCUGAUGCAGCCAUGCCGCGUGUAUGAAAAAGGCCUUCGGGUUGUAAAGUACUUUCAGUCGUGAGGAAGGUGUUAAGGUUAAUAACCUUAGCAAUUGACGUUAGCGACAGAAGAAGCACCGGCUAACUCCGUGCCAGCAGCCGCGGUAAUACGGAGGGUGCGAGCGUUAAUCGGAAUUACUGGGCGUAAAGGGCACGCAGGCGGUUAAUUAAGUUGGAUGUGAAAUCCCCGGGCUUAACCUGGGAAUGGCAUUCAAGACUGGUUAGCUAGAGUCUUGUAGAGGGGGUAGAAUUCCAUGUGUAGCGGUGAAAUGCGUAGAGAUGUGGAGGAAUACCGGUGGGCGAAGGCGGCCCCUGGGACAAAGGACUGACGCUCAUGUGCGAAAGCGUGGGGAGCAAAC
This 442-nucleotide ribosomal RNA is filed under the name uncultured bacterium. RNAcentral's name for it is "bacterial SSU rRNA". It matches the Rfam family "Bacterial small subunit ribosomal RNA", at positions 340 to 773 of the family's 1533-position model. The record is from RNAcentral.